GACGAACGCUGGCGGCGUGCUUAACACAUGCAAGUCGAACGGAAAGGCCCUGCUUUUGUGGGGUGCUCGAGUGGCGAACGGGUGAGUAACACGUGAGUAACCUGCCCUUGACUUUGGGAUAACUUCAGGAAACUGGGGCUAAUACCGGAUAGGAGCUCCUGCUGCAUGGUGGGGGUUGGAAAGUUUCGGCGGUUGGGGAUGGACUCGCGGCUUAUCAGCUUGUUGGUGGGGUAGUGGCUUACCAAGGCUUUGACGGGUAGCCGGCCUGGGAGGGUGACCGGCCACAUUGGGACUGCGAGACGGCCCAGACUCCUACGGGGGGCAGAAGGGGGGAAUAUUACACAGUGGGCGGGAGCCUGAUGCAACAACGCCGCGUGCGGAAUGACGGCCUUCGGGUUGUAAACCGCUUUCGCCUGUGACGAAGCGUGAGUGACGGUAAUGGGUAAAGAAGCACCGGCUAACUACGUG
This 468-nucleotide ribosomal RNA is filed under the name uncultured bacterium. RNAcentral's name for it is "partial 16S ribosomal RNA". It matches the Rfam family "Bacterial small subunit ribosomal RNA", at positions 28 to 507 of the family's 1533-position model. The record is from RNAcentral.